RNAcentral lists this ribosomal RNA (155 nucleotides) under uncultured bacterium. Its description in RNAcentral is "partial 16S ribosomal RNA". It matches the Rfam family "Bacterial small subunit ribosomal RNA", at positions 355 to 507 of the family's 1533-position model. The record is from RNAcentral.
UAAGGAAUAUUGGUCAAUGGACGCAAGUCUGAACCAGCCAUGCCGCGUGAAGGAUGAAGGUCCUCUGGAUUGUAAACUUCUUUUAUAUGGGACGAAACCCUGGUAUUCCUACCAGAUUGACGGUACCAUAGGAAUAAGCACCGGCUAACUCCGUG